Molecule: transfer RNA, 75 nt
Filed under: Pseudomonadota bacterium
Lineage: Bacteria; Pseudomonadati; Pseudomonadota
Also listed under: 1 other name
Description: tRNA-Gly
Rfam family: tRNA
About the family: Transfer RNA (tRNA) molecules are approximately 80 nucleotides in length. Their secondary structure includes four short double-helical elements and three loops (D, anti-codon, and T loops). Further hydrogen bonds mediate the characteristic L-shaped molecular structure. tRNAs have two regions of fundamental functional importance: the anti-codon, which is responsible for specific mRNA codon recognition, and the 3' end, to which the tRNAs corresponding amino acid is attached (by aminoacyl-tRNA synthetases). tRNAs cope with the degeneracy of the genetic code in two manners: having more than one tRNA (with a specific anti-codon) for a particular amino acid; and 'wobble' base-pairing, i.e. permitting non-standard base-pairing at the 3rd anti-codon position.
Source: RNAcentral
GCGGGCGUGACGCAACGGUAGCGUAUCAGCUUCCCAAGCUGGGUGUUGCGGGUUCGAAUCCCGUCGCCCGCUCCA